This 700-nucleotide ribosomal RNA is filed under the name uncultured bacterium. Its description in RNAcentral is "bacterial SSU rRNA". It matches the Rfam family "Bacterial small subunit ribosomal RNA", at positions 49 to 716 of the family's 1533-position model. The record is from RNAcentral.
AUANGCAUGCAGUUCGAGCGAGGACAGGUUUUUGUAGCAAUACAAGAGUUGAGCCGAGCNCCNUAAGGGGCAGCUAAAGCGUGGAUAACGUACCCCUCGAACUGGGAUAGCCACGGGAAACUGUGGGUAAUACCGGACGACGUAACGAAGUCGCAUGGCUUUGUUACCAAAGGUGUGAGUCCGGCGAGGGAGCGGUUCACGUGCUAUUAGCUUGUUGGCGGGGUAACGGCCCACCAAGGCUGAGAUGGCUAGCGGGUGUGAGAGCACGACCCGCGCCACUGGCACUGAGACACUGGCCAGACACCUACGGGUGGCUGCAGUCGAGGAUCUUUGGCAAUGGGCGCAAGCCUGACCAAGCGACGCCGCGUGCGGGAUGAAGGCCUUCGGGUUGUAAACCGCUGUCGAGGGGGAUGAAGGGCACGGNGGUACUCCUCCGUGUCACGCCUGACACAUCCCUGGANGAANCACGGGCUAAGUUCGUGCCAGCAGCCGCGNUAAGACGAACCGUGCGAACGUUGUUCGGAUUCACUGGGCUUAAAGGGCGCGUACGCGGCUUGCCAAGUCUGUGGUGAAAUCUUUCGGCUCAACCGGAAAAUGGCCAUGGAUACUGGCGAAGCUCGAAGGUAGGUAAGGGUCAGUGGGAAACUUUCCANUGGAACCGGUGAAAAUNCNUUGAUAUUGGAAAGAAACGCCCCGUGGC